GAUGAACGCUGGCGGCGUGCCUAAUACAUGCAAGUCGAGCGACGCGGGGACGGGUGAGUAACACGUGGAUGAACUCCUAUGAGGCUGGGGUUACUUCCUGGAACCGGUGCUAACACCGAACCUUAUAAAUGGAUCCGCGCCGCAUUAGCUGGUUGGUAAGGUAACGGCUUACAAAGGAAACGAUGCGUAGCCGACCUGAGAGGGGUAUCGGCCACACUGGAACUGAGACACGGUCCAGACUCCUACGGGAGGCAGCAGUAGGGAAUCUUCCGCAAUGGGCGAAAGCCUGACGGAGCAAUGCCGCGUGAGUGAUGAAGGUCUUCGGAUCGUAAAACACGGUUAGGAGGGAAGCGGUACCUGCUCAGAAAGCCACGGCUAACUACGUGCCAGCAGCCGCGGUAAUAC
This 405-nucleotide ribosomal RNA is filed under the name uncultured bacterium. Its description in RNAcentral is "partial 16S ribosomal RNA". It matches the Rfam family "Bacterial small subunit ribosomal RNA", at positions 28 to 526 of the family's 1533-position model. The record is from RNAcentral.